Molecule: long non-coding RNA, 1174 nt
Filed under: Anas platyrhynchos platyrhynchos (common mallard)
Lineage: Eukaryota; Metazoa; Chordata; Aves; Anseriformes; Anatidae
Description: lncRNA (ENSAPLG00000018389.1)
Source: RNAcentral
AUGUAUGUGUGCAAGGUGUCCAUGUACACCCAUGGAUGUGUGUGUACAUGGAUGUUUGUGUGCAAGGUGUGUGUGUACAGCUGUGUGUGUGUACAUGUACGUAUGUGUGUGUGUGUGCACAUGUGUGCACAUAUAUUUGUGUACACACACGUGUGCACUGUGUGCAUGUCCACGUGUGUACACGUACAUAUGUGUGCAAGCUGAGUGUGUGCACGUGUGCACAUGUAUGUACGUGUGCAAGGUGUGUGUGUACACCCAUGCAUGUGUGUGUGUACAUGUAUGUAUGUGGGUGUGCACGCACAUGCAUGCCCGUGUGUGUGUAUGUGUACAUGUGUUCAAGCUGUGUGUGUACAUGUACACAUACAUAUGUGUGCAAGCUGCACGUGUACACCUGUGCACACAUAUGUAAGUGUGCAAGAUGCGUGUACAAUUGUGUAUGUGUGUAUACACGUAAGUGUGCAAGGUGCACAUGCAUGCCCAUGUGUGUGUGUACACGUACAUACGUGUGCAAGCUGUGUGUGUACAUGCGUGCACACUUAUGUAAGUGUGCAAGCUGUGUGUGUACACCUGUGUACGUGUGAGCAAGGUGUGUGUGUACACCCAUGCAUGUGUGUGUACAUGUGUGUAUGUGGGUGUGUGUGCACAUGUAUGCCCGUGUGUGUGUGUACGUGUACAUAUGUGUGCAAACUGCAUGUGUACACAUGUGUACAUGUGUGUAAGUGUGCAAGCUGUGUGUACACCUGUGUACGUGUGUGUACACGUGUGUAAGCAUGCAAGGUGCACACGCAAUGCCCACGUAGGUGUGUGUGUGUGCCCGUAGCUCUGCACACACACACGUGCACACGCGUGCCCGCGGGUCUGUGGCUCUUGCACACGCGUGUGACCCCCCCGCGCCCCCCCAGGUUCCUGGCGGCGGGGGGCUACGUGCUGUACCCGCAGAUCGGGGACCGGCUGGACGUGGUGUGCCCGGGGGCGGCGGGGGGGGGGGGGGUACGAGUCCUACAAACGGUCCUGGGGGGGGGGGGGCGCAGGGGGGGCUGUGCCGCGCCCCCCCCGCCCCCGCCCCCGCCCCGCUGCUCACCUGCGACCGCCCCCAGCGCGAGCUGCGCGCAACCAUCAAGUUCCAGGAGUUCAGCCCCAGCCUCUGGGGGCACGAGUUCCGCCGCCUGCGCGA